Molecule: ribosomal RNA, 425 nt
Filed under: uncultured bacterium
Lineage: Bacteria
Description: bacterial SSU rRNA
Rfam family: Bacterial small subunit ribosomal RNA
Source: RNAcentral
UGAGGAAUAUUGGUCAAUGGGCGAGAGCCUGAACCAGCCAAGUAGCGUGCAGGAUGACGGCCCUAUGGGUUGUAAACUGCUUUUAUAAGGGAAUAAAGUGGGUCACGUGUGACUUUUUGCAUGUACCUUAUGAAUAAGGACCGGCUAAUUCCGUGCCAGCAGCCGCGGUAAUACGGAAGGUCCGGGCGUUAUCCGGAUUUAUUGGGUUUAAAGGGAGCGUAGGCCGGAGAUUAAGCGUGUUGUGAAAUGUAGUGGCUCAACCUCUGCACUGCAGCGCGAACUGGUCUUCUUGAGUACGCACAACGUGGGCGGAAUUCGUGGUGUAGCGGUGAAAUGCUUAGAUAUCACGAAGAACUCCGAUUGCGAAGGCAGCUCACGGGAGCGCAACUGACGCUGAAGCUCGAAAGUGCGGGUAUCGAACAGGA